AAGUCGUAACAAGGUUUCCGUAGGUGAACCUGCGGAAGGAUCAUUAAUGAAAUGAAUGUCGAAAAGGGUUGUAGCUGGCCUCUUGAGGUAUGUGCACACCUUUAUCGCGCAUCCACAUCUCACACCUGUGCACAACCUGUAGCUUGGGAUGAUUACAAUUCUGGAAACGGUAUUGAAAGCCCUUGCUAUGAAUUUUUAAACAACCGUAUUAAAAGUUAUAGAAUGUUAUGGCGUGUAACAGCGCAAAUAAAUAUACAACUUUCAGCAACGGAUCUCUUGGCUCUC
RNAcentral lists this unclassified non-coding RNA (285 nucleotides) under air metagenome. Its description in RNAcentral is "partial contains small subunit ribosomal RNA, internal transcribed spacer 1, and 5.8S ribosomal RNA". The stretch from base 1 to 46 matches the Rfam family "Eukaryotic small subunit ribosomal RNA", at positions 1786 to 1831 of the family's 1831-position model. The record is from RNAcentral.